GGCUCAGAUUGAACGCUGGCGGCAGGCCUAACACAUGCAAGUCGAGCGGCAGCACGGGUACUUGUACCUGGUGGCGAGCGGCGGACGGGUGAGUAAUGCCUAGGAAUCUGCCUGGUAGUGGGGGAUAACGUUCGGAAACGAACGCUAAUACCGCAUACGUCCUACGGGAGAAAGCAGGGGACCUUCGGGCCUUGCGCUAUCAGAUGAGCCUAGGUCGGAUUAGCUAGUUGGUGAGGUAAUGGCUCACCAAGGCGACGAUCCGUAACUGGUCUGAGAGGAUGAUCAGUCACACUGGAACUGAGACACGGUCCAGACUCCUACGGGAGGCAGCAGUGGGGAAUAUUGGACAAUGGGCGAAAGCCUGAUCCAGCCAUGCCGCGUGUGUGAAGAAGGUCUUCGGAUUGUAAAGCACUUUAAGUUGGGAGGAAGGGCAGUUACCUAAUACGUGAUUGUUUUGACGUUACCGACAGAAUAAGCACCGGCUAACUCUGUGCCAGCAGCCGCGGUAAUACAGAGGGUGCAAGCGUUAAUCGGAAUUACUGGGCGUAAAGCGCGCGUAGGUGGUUCGUUAAGUUGGAUGUGAAAUCCCCGGGCUCAACCUGGGAACUGCAUUCAAAACUGUCGAGCUAGAGUAUGGUAGAGGGUGGUGGAAUUUCCUGUGUAGCGGUGAAAUGCGUAGAUAUAGGAAGGAACACCAGUGGCGAAGGCGACCACCUGGACUGAUACUGACACU
RNAcentral lists this ribosomal RNA (733 nucleotides) under uncultured Pseudomonas sp. Its description in RNAcentral is "bacterial SSU rRNA". It matches the Rfam family "Bacterial small subunit ribosomal RNA", at positions 21 to 747 of the family's 1533-position model. The record is from RNAcentral. Lineage: Bacteria; Pseudomonadati; Pseudomonadota; Gammaproteobacteria; Pseudomonadales; Pseudomonadaceae.